UGGAGAGUUUGAUCCUGGCUCAGAGCGAACGCUGGCGGCAGGCUUAACACAUGCAAGUCGAGCGGGCACCUUCGGGUGUCAGCGGCAGACGGGUGAGUAACACGUGGGAACGUGCCCUUCGGUUCGGAAUAACUCAGGGAAACUUGAGCUAAUACCGGAUACGCCCUUUUGGGGAAAGGUUUACUGCCGAAGGAUCGGCCCGCGUCUGAUUAGCUUGUUGGUGGGGUAACGGCCUACCAAGGCGACGAUCAGUAGCUGGUCUGAGAGGAUGAUCAGCCACACUGGGACUGAGACACGGCCCAGACUCCUACGGGAGGCAGCAGUGGGGAAUAUUGGACAAUGGGCGCAAGCCUGAUCCAGCCAUGCCGCGUGAGUGAUGAAGGCCUUAGGGUUGUAAAGCUCUUUUGUCCGGGACGAUAAUGACGGUACCGGAAGAAUAAGCCCCGGCUAACUUCGUGCCAGCAGCCGCGGUA
RNAcentral lists this ribosomal RNA (473 nucleotides) under Methylococcaceae bacterium C4. Its description in RNAcentral is "bacterial SSU rRNA". It matches the Rfam family "Bacterial small subunit ribosomal RNA", at positions 1 to 522 of the family's 1533-position model. The record is from RNAcentral. Lineage: Bacteria; Pseudomonadati; Pseudomonadota; Gammaproteobacteria; Methylococcales; Methylococcaceae.